UUCCGGUUGAUCCUGCCGGAGGUCACUGCUAUUGGGAUUCGACUAAGCCAUGCGAGUCGAGAGGGUUCGGCCCUCGGCUGACGGCUCAGUAACACGUGGAUAAUCUGCCCUUAGGUGGAGGAUACCCUCGGGAAACUGAGAAUAAUACUCCAUAGGUCUAGGAUGCUGGAAUGCAUCUAGACUGAAAACUCCGGUGCCUAAGGAUGAGUCUGCGGACUAUCAGGUUGUAGUCAGGGUAAAGACCUGACUAGCCUACGACGGAUAUGGGUUGUGAGAGCAAUAACCCAGAGAUGAUAUCUGAGACACGAUAUCAGGCCCUACGGGGCGCAGCAGGCGCGAAAACUUCACACUGUGCGAAAGCACGAUGAGGGAAUCCCAAGUGCCAGCUCGUAAGAGUUGGCUGUUUUUCUGUCUAAAACACAGAGAGAGUAAGAGCUGGGUAAGACGGGUGCCAGCCGCCGCGGUAAUACCUGCAGCUCGAGUGGUGACCGUUAUUAUUGGGCCUAAAACGUCCGUAGCCGGUUUAGUAAAUGCCUGGGUAAAUCGUGUAGCUUAACUAUACGAAUUCCGGGUAGACUGCUAAGCUUGAGACCGGGAGAGGCUAGAGGUACUCCUGGGGUAGAGGUGAAAUUCUGUAAUCCUGGGGGGACCACCAGUGGCGAAGGCGUCUAGCUAGAACGGAUCUGACGGUGAGGGACGAAGCCCUGGGGCGCAAACCGGAUUAGAUACCCGGGUAGUACAGGGUGUAAACGCUGCUUGCUUGAUGUUAGUUUGCGCUCCGAGCUCAAUGUAGUGUCGGAGAGCAGGUCGUUAGCAAGCUGCCUGGGAAGUACGGCCGCUACACUGAAACUUAAGGACUUGGCGGGAAAGCACAGCAACGGGUGGAGCGAGCCGCUUUAGUGGACUCAAUGCCGG
Molecule: ribosomal RNA, 915 nt
Filed under: uncultured archaeon
Lineage: Archaea
Description: bacterial SSU rRNA
Rfam family: Archaeal small subunit ribosomal RNA
Source: RNAcentral